CAGUAGCCACGGUAAUACCAGCACCUCGAGUGGUCAGGAGGUUUAUUGGGCCUAAAGCAUCCGUAGCCGGUUGCAUAAGUUUUCGGUUAAACCUAUGCGCUUAACGUAUAGGCCGCCGAAAAUACUGCGCAGCUAGGGAGUGGGAGAGGUACACGGUACUCGAUAGGAAGGGGUAAAAUCCUUUGAUCUAUUGAUGACCACCUGUGGCGAAGGCGGUGUACCAGAACACGUUCGACGGUGAGGGAUGAAAGCUGGGGGAGCAAACCGGAUUAGAUACCCCAGUAGUCCCUGUCUCUUAUAA
Molecule: ribosomal RNA, 301 nt
Filed under: uncultured bacterium
Lineage: Bacteria
Description: partial 16S ribosomal RNA
Rfam family: Archaeal small subunit ribosomal RNA
Source: RNAcentral